RNAcentral lists this ribosomal RNA (452 nucleotides) under uncultured bacterium. RNAcentral describes it as "bacterial SSU rRNA". It matches the Rfam family "Bacterial small subunit ribosomal RNA", at positions 340 to 786 of the family's 1533-position model. The record is from RNAcentral.
UACGGAAGGCAGCAGGGGGGAAUAUUGCACAAUGGGCGCAAGCCUGAUGCAGCCAUGCCGCGUGUAUGAAAAAGGCCUUCGGGUUGUAAAGUACUUUCAGUCGUGAGGAAGGUGUUAAGGUUAAUAACCUUAGCAAUUGACGUUAGCGACAGAAGAAGCACCGGCUAACUCCGUGCCAGCAGCCGCGGUAAUACGGAGGGUGCGAGCGUUAAUCGGAAUUACUGGGCGUAAAGGGCACGCAGGCGGUUAAUUAAGUUGGAUGUGAAAUCCCCGGGCUUAACCUGGGAAUGGCAUUCAAGACUGGUUAGCUAGAGUCUUGUAGAGGGGGUAGAUUCCAUGUGUAGCGGUGAAAUGCGUAGAGAUGUGGAGGAUACCGGUGGCGAAGGCGGCCCCUGGACAAAGACUGACGCUCAUGUGCGAAAGCGUGGGGAGCAAACAGGGAUUAGGAUACC